UACGGAGGGGGCUAGCGUUGUUCGGAAUUACUGGGCGUAAAGCGCGCGUAGGCGGCUAUUUAAGUCAGGGGUGAAAGCCCGGAGCUCAACUCCGGAACUGCCUUUGAGACUGGAUAGCUAGAAUCUUGGAGAGGCGAGUGGAAUUCCGAGUGUAGAGGUGAAAUUCGUAGAUAUUCGGAAGAACACCAGUGGCGAAGGCGGCUCGCUGGACAAGUAUUGACGCUGAGGUGCGAAAGCGUGGGGAGCAAACAGG
This 253-nucleotide ribosomal RNA is filed under the name uncultured bacterium. RNAcentral describes it as "partial 16S ribosomal RNA". It matches the Rfam family "Bacterial small subunit ribosomal RNA", at positions 524 to 776 of the family's 1533-position model. The record is from RNAcentral.